RNA transcript from Polypterus senegalus (gray bichir), 3408 nucleotides. It is a transcript of the gene named phospholamban, with no coding region annotated. NCBI's taxonomy places the organism in Eukaryota, Metazoa, Chordata, Cladistia, Polypteriformes, Polypteridae. The record is from RefSeq and is a predicted model, not a curated record. The transcript has 4 exons.
AAACUUUGUGACAUGCUGGGAAAAGUUGCCAGAAAACCACUACUUCAACUCCAGUAAGAGAUUUUCUUGAACAGUUGUGACACAGGCCUUCUACAACUGGCAAUUCACCUCAAAAGAAAGCCUAUCUAGAAGAGAGGAAGCAUUUGAACCAAAACCUGGAAACAAAAAGAGCUGAAACAGAGAGACAGUCCGCCAGCUCCUCAAAAUUUCGAUUCUUGGCUGGCAGCUUUUCUGAUGAAGAUUUCCACACAAAGAAUCACACAAUUUAUGAAACUGCUGCAGUUACACAAGGACGGAAGGCACAGAUGCCCAACUGAAGAUCCCAGACUAGUCUACAGCUCUUCAACACUUCAAGAUUCAAAAACCCUUCUAUUCUAGGUGAAGUCAUCUAUUGCAGCCUAACAGUGUGUGAAAGUAAAAGAACAGAAUGGAUUUAUCAGCAAACCGAGGCCUCAAUCUCUUGCUCAACUUCCUCCUAAUUGUCCUAGUGCUGAUCCUGAUGCUAAUUCUGGUGAAGCUUAUGUGACCACGACAAAUGUAACUAAAGUAAUCUCGGAGGUAAUGCAGAUGAUUUGAAGAAGGGAACUGAAUAAAGUGUGCCCGUGAAGAAUAUACUGUACUACAGGUCAAGGAGAACAUAGAGAAUGGCUCCAUUGCCAAAGAUAAAAAAGGAAAGCUCUGUUUGUGGUUUUUUUUUUUUUUGAUGGAGUAUAACAACUAAACAUAACAAAAUACACUCAAGCACAAAGCAGUAUACAGUACAUAAUAUGGCAUGAUUCACUUUUAAUAAACCUUUACUUUAGGAUGUACACUACUUAACACUUAGCACUUAACAAUCUACUAACAACUCAAUAUAGGAUAUGGAUUACACAGAUUUUCAUUUUGCUGUAUUUUAGCUACACAUCCAAGAACAUGCAAGCAGAAUACCAGGUUAUUAAAAAAAUAAAGGCUUGUCACCCCCUAGUGGUCAUCAAUUUCAGAAAAAUAAGAUUCUCUCUUCUUAAUACUUAAAAGGCAUAUUUUGUCUUUGUUUUAUCAGUAAAUUUCAUGAAGAAGAAAAAAAAGUAUUCUUAUUGUAUGUUAAAAGGACUAUAUAUCCUAUUAUCCUCUUGAAAUACUUAAAACACAUUCGUUUUUUGUCAGCAUACACAUUUUGAAUGCCACUGCCAACAUACUGUUAUAUAUUCACAAUGGAUUUCAAAUAGAAGUCUCAAUUCUUCAAGCUAUCCUCAGUUUUCAGAAAGCUAUUGGGUGGGAAUUUGUCUAAACUACGGCAUCUCAGGCCAAUUUACGGGUACAAAAAGGCACUAUGAAAAUUCAUCCAAUUGGUUAAAAAUACAUCAUGUUGUUAGAAUGAAUAAUAAUCAUUUAUAAUGAAAAGCUCAGUUUAGGCAAAAAUCUAAAUGCAACUUUAUUCGCAAAAUCUAUGCAUUCUGGUCACAAAACAUUUAUCCAAAACAGCAGCAUUGCAUGUUGUAAGUUAUUUCUUUCAAUGUCCUGGGGUCUUAAAAUGAAUACAUUUGUUUUUUAUAGCUACUGCUUUAAAACUACACUUUCAAGCCCUUAUGGUGUUUGCAUAUUUUAAAAAACACAAACUACAAGGAGGUGUUACUUACUCAGUUAAACCUGAUAGAUUUUACCUUGUGCUUUAGCUUCACUAAAACAUACUGAAAGCUUAAUAAAAAACAAACCACAUAAAGGAAUCUGGCUGUGCCUUUGUAUGGCAGACACUCUAGUUAUCCACAAAGAAAAAUACUUUAAAGGAAAUUAUACUUCAACAUAAAAAACUAACCCAUUAUACAGAUAUUUGUGUAACUCAGAUCAAAAUUAAAGUAAGAAUAAAAAAUUAGUGUGUAAUGUACAGACAAAAUAUGUAAUUGCAGAGACAUGCAAUUAAUUGGGCUACUAAAACAGCACAUAUUUAUUGAUGAAAAAGUAAACAAAAUGCAUAUUGUUUUGGGUUUCUGAGGCCUAGUAGAACAACUGAAAUGUGACAAAUACAGCAAAAGCACAAAUGACACAUAUUUGAAUUGUAAUGGAACAAACAGAAUGCAAGGUCCAGUUCGUAAUUAUUGCUGAUUGCAUUAGUCCACUUCAAUGGCUAAUUCUGUAUGAUUAGUAAACAGGCAUAAGCAAUAACAAAGUAUUAUCUCAUAUUUGAAGCACCUUGAAAACCAUAGAAAAAAAUGCAAUUUUUUUUAACAUUCAUUCUGAAAUAAUGGAUUGUGUUCAAAUGAUGUUUGAUUUCACAAAUGUAGCCUUAAAUUUGGGAUAAAUGUGAAAAAGGAGUGAGAAAUUCAGAAAGUAAAGCAGCAGGAGCUUGUGGCAUUUGAAAUUUGAAUUAAAUUGACUUGUCCAUUAUUUACUCUUAAAUAUUACUCUUAAGUAAAUAUUAAAUAUUUUUAAGCAGCUGAAGUCUAUUUCUUAUACUCUGGCAAAAAUAAAUGUCACAACAGCAAAUGUUACAAACCUCAUAGUGAACUCUGACAAACUUGAUUUUAAAAAUGUACAGUUUUAAACAGAUACUGUAAAAGACAUUAUAAUGAAUAACAUUGGCAAUUACUAAAUUAUGGGGCACCGAUAUUAAUGUUUGAAAUUUUAUUCUUUUAGUAUUAUUUUAAGCAGUAUUUUUCUGUUACCAAAUACCAAGUAUCAGUGGUAACAUUUAGUAUGUGCACACAGUAAAAACAAAUCCAAGUAUUCCAUGAUGAUCAUACUAUUAGCAUAGGGUUUAUAAAGAAUAUCUCCCUGUCCCAUCUCUGCUCUAAAAUCUCCCACACUUGUUACACUUGGGAGAAAAACACUUCUGCCAGAAGUGAAUUGCAGGCCCUAACAGUACAUUAAAGGUAACGACAAGUCAGUUGUGCUAACAUGUUACGAUAUAGGACAGCACAACAGUAUAUGAUGUUGCCAGAUGGGCACAGCAUCCUGGUUUUGAAUCUAAUGACUGUCCAUUGAGUGCAGGUUCACCCAACUUCUGUUCCAAUUUUUUUCCUAAAUCUCUAAGAUUGCAAAAGUUAUGUUAAUUAGCAAAUAUCAAAUUAACCCAGGGUAUGUGUGUGUAUGUGUGGGGGUGUGUGGUUGGGCCAUGUGGUGUACUGGUACCUUUGCUCAAGGAUGUUUCCAGCACUAUCAAAAUAGGCAUCAGCCACUGCACCCCUGAUUAUUAUUAAAUGGCUAUGAAUAUGUUUAAAUACAACACAUCAUAUGAUAAUUAAGAUUUCCAUUUCACAUUGGAUUUCGAAUGCAUUUUUUGCAGUUUUGGGGAUUUCAGUCAAUCUUUAUAUAUAGUGUUAUAAUAAAGUGAUUAUGUAAAAGUGUACAUUUCUAAAAACAAACAUACUGUGUGUGCUUAUUUUAGGUUUAAAUAACAAAAUGAAUGAAAUAAUUAAAAAAAAACAGACACAA